This 111-nucleotide microRNA precursor is filed under the name Medicago truncatula (barrel medic). RNAcentral describes it as "MIR5284 microRNA precursor family". It matches the Rfam family "MIR5284 microRNA precursor family". The record is from Rfam by way of RNAcentral. Lineage: Eukaryota; Viridiplantae; Streptophyta; Magnoliopsida; Fabales; Fabaceae.
CUGUAAUUUCAGAUACCUCCACUUUUGGUCCCUCAUUUCAUGAGCCAUGUAUGCAGAUUUUUUUGACGUGGUGAAAUUAGGGACCAAAAGUGGAAGAAUAUGAAAUUACAA